UCCUACGGGGGGCAGCAGUGAGGAAUAUUGGUCAAUGGGCGCAAGCCUGAACCAGCCAAGUCGCGUGAGGGAAGACGGCCCUACGGGUUGUAAACCUCUUUUGCCGGGGAGCAAGCCUGAGCACGUGUGCCCAGGCGGAGAGUACCUGAAGAAAAAGCAUCGGCUAACUCCGUGCCGGCAGCCGCGGUAAUACGGAGGAUGCGAGCGUUAUCCGGAUUUAUUGGGUUUAAAGGGUGCGUAGGCGGAAUAUCAAGUCAGCGGUAAAAAUUCGGGGCUCAACCCCGUCGUGCCGUUGAAACUGAUGU
RNAcentral lists this ribosomal RNA (305 nucleotides) under uncultured bacterium. RNAcentral's name for it is "bacterial SSU rRNA". It matches the Rfam family "Bacterial small subunit ribosomal RNA", at positions 337 to 639 of the family's 1533-position model. The record is from RNAcentral.